Molecule: ribosomal RNA, 253 nt
Filed under: uncultured bacterium
Lineage: Bacteria
Description: partial 16S ribosomal RNA
Rfam family: Bacterial small subunit ribosomal RNA
Source: RNAcentral
UACAGAGGGGGCAAGCGUUGUUCGGAAUUACUGGGCGUAAAGGGCGCGUAGGCGGCCCGCUAAGUCGAACGUGAAAUCCCCGAGCUCAACUCGGGAACUGCGUCCGAUACUGGCGGGCUUGAAUCCGGGAGAGGGAUGCGGAAUUCCAGGUGUAGCGGUGAAAUGCGUAGAUAUCUGGAGGAACACCCGUGGCGAAGGCGGCUCACUGGGCCGGUCCUGACGCUGAGGUGCGAAAGCGUGGGGAGCAAACAGG